UACGGGGGGGGCAAGCGUUGUUCGGAAUUACUGGGCGUAAAGGGCGCGUAGGCGGUCUUGCAAGUCCUGUGUGAAAUCCCUCGGCUCAACUGAGGAACUGCACAGGAAACUGCUUGGCUUGAGUUCGGGAGAGGGAAGCGGAAUUCCGGGUGUAGCGGUGAAAUGCGUAGAUAUCCGGAGGAACACCAGUGGCGAAGGCGGUCUCCUGGGGCAUUCUUGACGCUGAGGCGCGAAAGCUGGGGGAGCGAACGGG
Molecule: ribosomal RNA, 253 nt
Filed under: uncultured bacterium
Lineage: Bacteria
Description: partial 16S ribosomal RNA
Rfam family: Bacterial small subunit ribosomal RNA
Source: RNAcentral